UAGUAUCGUCAGUGCCGGUUUAAGCACUACCGGCGCCCCUGGGCAAGAUUGCAAGUGGCGCCUCUAAAAAAAAAUUCAUCUAAAAACAAUUUUUUAAAAUCACGAAAAAAAGCAAUAGCAGAUUAUGUCUUACCUCUCAUAUACUUGUUAAUGCAUUUAUUAAAAAUGUGCAGUGUAUUAACUUAAAAAGGUUAACUUAAAAAAAAAAAUUAAUUAUUCAUGUCAUUUAGGCUCAAUUGACAAGACUACCUUUAUCUCUGACUUUUUUGUUUAAACACAUUUAAAGAUUAGGUACAGUUGGUCUUAUUUGAACAAUAUUUUUUCAAAAACUUUUUCAACUAGGUACAUUAAUGUCGUUUUCGAUUGGAAUCACUCAAUGAUUCACUCAUUC
This is a long non-coding RNA of Episyrphus balteatus (marmalade hoverfly), 391 nucleotides long. RefSeq lists it as uncharacterized. The transcript is spliced from 2 exons. The record is from RefSeq and is a predicted model, not a curated record. Lineage: Eukaryota; Metazoa; Arthropoda; Insecta; Diptera; Syrphidae.